RNAcentral lists this transfer RNA (84 nucleotides) under Muiribacterium halophilum (SeqCode). RNAcentral describes it as "bacterium BM706 tRNA-Leu". It matches the Rfam family "tRNA". Rfam says of the family: Transfer RNA (tRNA) molecules are approximately 80 nucleotides in length. Lineage: Bacteria; Candidatus Muiribacteriota; Muiribacteriia (SeqCode); Muiribacteriaceae (SeqCode). The record is from RNAcentral.
GGGCGAGUGGUGGAAUUUGGCAGACACGCAGGACUUAGAAUCCUGUGCUAACGCGUGCGAGUUCGAGUCUCGCCUCGCCCACCA